CGCCACUUGGCCGGCCCUGGCCAUUCUUUUAUUAAAGGCUGAGAGGGUACAGUUCCUGGCCCAGGGUCUCAGAGUUUGCAGGUGAUUAAACCAAGAUUCAAUCCCCAGUAGGCAUAACUCUAAGGCCAGUGCCCUAUUUACUGCCCGCUGGUUUGCCUAUCUCCCAUUCCCUGGGAUUUGGCUGGGUCCCAAUCCAGAAUGUAUCAUUAGCCAGGGCCUUAGAACCUAGGGCCUCAAACUAGAGAUCUGUAGAAGGAAGCAGCACCUCAUAGGCCCGCCUUCCUCUCCAUCUGCCCCACCUCCCUGGUUCAAAAGGGGCCUGCAGAGAGCUCUGUGCACAUCUCCAAAAGCUGCUGUCAAGACAGCUACUAAGAUCCUUCCAAGAUGAAGAGCUUCCUCUUCCUCCUAUUCAUCAUCAGCCUCCUGGUUAUGACUCAGGUACAAACUGAGGUCUUGGUAAACAAGAAUUCCACCAGCUCCACCAAGAAUGCGGCCCCAGCACUCAGCUGCCUAGGUGGUGGCAGUGUCCUUCUCUUCUUGACCAACACCCUCAUCCAGCUCCUUCACCUCAGCUGAAGUGACAUGCCUCAGCCCUGGCCCUGUGUCCCCUGAGACAGCUGCCACCAUCGCUAGCAAGAGAAGCCCAACCCCACCCUCCCUACCCCACCCCCAGCCCUGGAAUCCUUGGAAAGUGUUGAUGCCAGAAAUCACCAGUUGUGGGAAUUGACAGGCGGUGCUUUGGGAACAACGGCCAACACAGGGAGGUACUGAUGUGGAGGGGCUAGCAUCACCCAGCUGGGGGUCAAUAAAGUUGUCCUGUACUUGGAA
Molecule: long non-coding RNA, 828 nt
Organism: Hipposideros armiger (great roundleaf bat)
Lineage: Eukaryota; Metazoa; Chordata; Mammalia; Chiroptera; Hipposideridae
Exons: 2
Source: RefSeq, a predicted model, not a curated record